This 75-nucleotide microRNA precursor is filed under the name Myotis myotis. Its description in RNAcentral is "mir-9229 microRNA precursor family". It matches the Rfam family "mir-9229 microRNA precursor family". RNAcentral also lists the same sequence under 1 other name. Lineage: Eukaryota; Metazoa; Chordata; Mammalia; Chiroptera; Vespertilionidae. The record is from Rfam by way of RNAcentral.
AGACACCCUUCUGGGGCAAGACUUGCUUCAGCGGGGCUUUGGUGCUCACUGAGUCUGCCCCCUGAGUGUGUCCCU